UACGAAGGGGGCUAGCGUUGCUCGGAAUUACUGGGCGUAAAGGGCGCGUAGGCGGCGGUGUCAGUCAGGCGUGAAAUUCCUGGGCUUAACCUGGGGGCUGCGCUUGAUACGGCACUGCUAGAGGUCAGAAGAGGCUCGUGGAAUUCCCAGUGUAGAGGUGAAAUUCGUAGAUAUUGGGAAGAACACCGGUGGCGAAGGCGGCGAGCUGGUCUGAUACUGACGCUGAGGCGCGACAGCGUGGGGAGCAAAC
This 250-nucleotide ribosomal RNA is filed under the name uncultured bacterium. RNAcentral's name for it is "partial 16S ribosomal RNA". It matches the Rfam family "Bacterial small subunit ribosomal RNA", at positions 524 to 773 of the family's 1533-position model. The record is from RNAcentral.